GUGAGGAAGAUAUAACGAUCUCAGUUUACGCUCAGAAGACACUGAAGCUUUCCGAGGGUAAAUGGCUUGCCCCCAAGUUGAACAGCUAAUAGGGGAGAGCAGUUCUCAUUCUGGUCUGGGCUUUUGUACCCUAAGGCACGAAGUCAGAAGCCUGAGUAAGUGUGUCUCAUGUGGGUGGUGAUGGUGUAGAAGCGCCUCUGUUCAUCACAAUGCAAGCAGGGGACAUGGGUCACAGGCACUGUCCACUAUGCAGAGAUCUCACACAGGAACAGCGGUAAUGCUGAGCGGAGGAAGUGGGCAGUGGGAGCAAAUGGCUGAAAACUGCCAAGUUGGAAGAAAUCUAAAGAGGUUUAUGUUAAUUUCCCUUAGACCUAGAGCAACGAACCACCUCUGGGUGGUGCUGGAAAGGAACUUGGCAUCCUCUGGUUAGCAGCCUCCUGGCCAGGAGGUUGUACUCACUUGCGAGGUUUCCCUUCCAUUCCUCUGCUCCCUGCUCAGCUCACUUCACCUGUGGUACCUCCGUCAGCUUCAUGGGAAACCCUUUCUGAGCAUCUUAAAAGAGUUCUACCGAAUGCUACAGAACUCAGCAGGAAUGGCCCAGUUAGCUCUGCAAGCACAUCCCGAGAGGCUCAGUGGGCAGUUGUGGAUUUCAGCCCUGCCUCUAGUUCAUCAUCCCCACUCUGAAAUCUUACCAAUCAAGACAGCCGAGUGCCUCGGGAGUCAGCAUCAACAAAUGUGACGCCACCAAAUGGAACUAGAGGAGUGAGAGGCAGCUCCAGUGAAGAAGUGCCCGAGUCCCUGGUUGUGUCGAUCACUGUGACGUGCUGCUCUCUGCAUCCAAAAUGACUGAUGGGCCUGUAAUUUGUUGUUGUUGUUGUUUUGGCAUACAUUUGCAGAAGCAAACUUGUUCACGGUUCCCCUGCUGAAAGCUCAACCAUCUGAGUGCCAUAGGAAACAGACUUUGGCAUUUUAGCUGCUCACAGACUGGGUCAUCCAUAAAAGUUUAAUUUUCUAAAAAUA
Long non-coding RNA from Herpailurus yagouaroundi (jaguarundi), 1020 nucleotides. RefSeq lists it as uncharacterized. NCBI's taxonomy places the organism in Eukaryota, Metazoa, Chordata, Mammalia, Carnivora, Felidae. The record is from RefSeq and is a predicted model, not a curated record. The transcript is spliced from 2 exons.